GCGGUUGUGGUGGAAUGGUAGACACGUACGCUUGAGGGGCGUAUGGCGAAAGUCGUGGGGGUUCAAGUCCCCCCAACCGCACCA
This 84-nucleotide transfer RNA is filed under the name Malaciobacter mytili. RNAcentral describes it as "Arcobacter mytili tRNA-Leu". It matches the Rfam family "tRNA". From Rfam's summary of the family: Transfer RNA (tRNA) molecules are approximately 80 nucleotides in length. Their secondary structure includes four short double-helical elements and three loops (D, anti-codon, and T loops). Lineage: Bacteria; Pseudomonadati; Campylobacterota; Epsilonproteobacteria; Campylobacterales; Arcobacteraceae. The record is from RNAcentral.